UGGAAAGUUAAAGUCGUAACAAGGUUUCCGUAGGUGAACCUGCGGAAGGAUCAUUACAGAAUGAAAAGUGCUUAACUGCAUUUUUUCUUACACAUGUGUUUUUCUUUUUUUGAAAACUUUGCUUUGGUAGGCCUUCUAUAUGGGGCCUGCCAGAGAUUAAACUCAACCAAAUUUUAUUUAAUGUCAACCGAUUAUUUAAUAGUCAAAACUUUCAACAACGGAUCUCUUGGUUCUCGCAUCGAUGAAGAACGCAGCGAAAUGCGAUAAGUAAUAUGAAUUGCAGAUAUUCGUGAAUCAUCGAAUCUUUGAACGCACAUUGCGCCCUUUGGUAUUCCAAAGGGCAUGCCUGUUUGAGCGUCAUUUCUCCCUCAAACCCUCGGGUUUGGUGUUGAGCGAUACGCUGGGUUUGCUUGAAAGAAAGGCGGAGUAUAAACUAAUGGAUAGGUUUUUUCCACUCAUUGGUACAAACUCCAAAACUUCUUCCAAAUUCGACCUCAAAUCAGGUAGGACUACCCGCUGAACUUAAGCAUAUCAAUAGCGGGGAGGAA
RNAcentral lists this small RNA (548 nucleotides) under Lodderomyces parapsilosis. RNAcentral describes it as "eukaryotic LSU rRNA". The stretch from base 207 to 360 matches the Rfam family "5.8S ribosomal RNA". The record is from RNAcentral. Lineage: Eukaryota; Fungi; Ascomycota; Pichiomycetes; Serinales; Debaryomycetaceae.